RNAcentral lists this ribosomal RNA (429 nucleotides) under uncultured bacterium. RNAcentral's name for it is "bacterial SSU rRNA". It matches the Rfam family "Bacterial small subunit ribosomal RNA", at positions 355 to 776 of the family's 1533-position model. The record is from RNAcentral.
UAGGGAAUUUUGCGCAAUGGACGAAAGUCUGACGCAGCAACUCCGCGUGAGGGAUGAAGGUCUUCGGAUUGUAAACCUCUGUUGAUUGGGAAGAAAGUGAUAUGGAUUAAUCGCCAUAUUUUUGACGGUACCAAUCGAGGAAGCUCCGGCUAACUACGUGCCAGCAGCCGCGGUAAUACGUAGGGAGCAAGCGUUGUUCGGAAUCACUGGGCGUAAAGGGAGCGCAGGCGGUUCGGUAAGUUAGAAGUGAAAUGUAUGGGCUCAACCCGUAAUCUGCUUUUAAUACUGUCGGACUUGAGUAUGGGAGAGGAAGAUAGAAUUCCAGGUGUAGCGGUGGAAUGCGUAGAUAUCUGGAAGAAUACCAGUAGCGAAGGCGGUCUUCUGGCCCAAUACUGACGCUCAUGCUCGAAAGCAAGGGGAGCAAACAGG